This 671-nucleotide long non-coding RNA is filed under the name Pan troglodytes (chimpanzee). Its description in RNAcentral is "long non-coding RNA NONPTRT006966". Lineage: Eukaryota; Metazoa; Chordata; Mammalia; Primates; Hominidae. The record is from RNAcentral.
UGGGACCUGCCUGGGAGCAGAGUGCCCCACUGUCGUCCACAGGCUCUCCCUCUGCCAUGGGAGAAGUGGGAACACGUGCCUCCACACACACCUGGUCCCAGCUUUGCAGACCUGGCUCCUUGGCUAGGGCCGUGGAAGGGGACCAGCUUUCGUCAGGAGUGCUGUGGGACAGUCCCUGGACCCCUGUGCACUUCCUUACCCACCCUGCACUGGCUUCCUGCACUACAGGAGGUAGGCUGGAGACGCAGUGCCGUGUCACACCUCAGUACUUGGGUGGGUGUACACAAUACGUAACCUGGUCCGUGGCCCGUGUGCAAAUGUCACCAACCGUCCAGAUAACGCCCUGACACCGUCUCUCCUGUGCAGGGUCCAGGGUCCCACGUGGCGUUUCUACACUGUCUCUCCUGUGCAGAGCCCAGGGUCCCACGUGGCGUUUCUACACUGUCUCUCCUGUGCAGGGUCCAGGGUCCCAACUGGCGUUUCUACACUGUCUCUCCUGUGCAGAGCCCAGGGUCCCACGUGGCAUUUCUACACUGUCUCUCCUGUGCAGGGUCCACGGUCCCACGUGGUGUUUCUACACUGUCUCUCCUGUGCAGGGUCCAUGGUCCCACGUGGCGUUUCUACGGAUGAUGACCUGAUGCCUGUCUCUCCUGUGCAGGGUCCACGGUCCC